AGAGUUUGAUCGUGGCUCAGGACGAACGCUGGCGGCGUGCCUAAUACAUGCAAGUUGAGCGCUGAAGGUUGGUACUUGUACCGACUGGAUGAGCAGCGAACGGGUGAGUAACGCGUGGGGAAUCUGCCUUUGAGCGGGGGACAACAUUUGGAAACGAAUGCUAAUACCGCAUAAAAACUUUAAACACAAGUUUUAAGUUUGAAAGAUGCAAUUGCAUCACUCAAAGAUGAUCCCGCGUUGUAUUAGCUAGUUGGUGAGGUAAAGGCUCACCAAGGCGAUGAUACAUAGCCGACCUGAGAGGGUGAUCGGCCACAUUGGGACUGAGACACGGCCCAAACUCCUACGGGAGGCAGCAGUAGGGAAUCUUCGGCAAUGGACGAAAGUCUGACCGAGCAACGUCGCGUGAGUGAAGAAGGUUUUCGGAUCGUAAAACUCUGUUGGUAGAGAAGAACGUUGGUGAGAGUGGAAAGCUCAUCAAGUGACGGUAACUACCCAGAAAGGGACGGCUAACUACGUGCCAGCGGCCGCGGUAAUACGUAGGUCCCGAGCGUUGUCCGGAUUUAUUGGGCGUAAAGCGAGCGCAGGUGGUUUAUUAAGUCUGGUGUAAAAGGCAGUGGCUCAACCAUUGUAUGCAUUGGAAACUGGUAGACUUGAGUGCAGGAGAGGAGAGUGGAAUUCCAUGUGUAGCGGUGAAAUGCGUAGAUAUAUGGAGGAACACCGGUGGCGAAAGCGGCUCUCUGGCCUGUAACUGACACUGAGGCUCGAAAGCGUGGGGAGCAAACAGGAUUAGAUACCCUGGUAGUCCACGCCGUAAACGAUGAGUGCUAGAUGUAGGGAGCUAUAAGUUCUCUGUAUCGCAGCUAACGCAAUAAGCACUCCGCCUGGGGAGUACGACCGCAAGGUUGAAACUCAAAGGAAUUGACGGGGGCCCGCACAAGCGGUGGAGCAUGUGGUUUAAUUCGAAGUAACGCGAAGAACCUUACCAGGUCUUGACAUACUCGUGCUAUUCCUAGAGAUAGGAAGUUCCUUCGGGACACGGGAUACAGGUGGUGCAUGGUUGUCGUCAGCUCGUGUCGUGAGAUGUUGGGUUAAGUCCCGCAACGAGCGCAACCCCUAUUGUUAGUUGCCAUCAUUAAGUUGGGCACUCUAACGAGACUGCCGGUGAUAAACCGGAGGAAGGUGGGGAUGACGUUAAAUCAUCAUGCCCCUUAUGACCUGGGCUACACACGUGCUACAAUGGAUGGUACAACGAGUCGCGAGACAGUGAUGUUUAGCUAAUCUCUUAAAACCAUUCUCAGUUCGGAUUGUAGGCUGCAACUCGCCUACAUGAAGUCGGAAUCGCUAGUAAUCGCGGAUCAGCACGCCGCGGUGAAUACGUUCCCGGGCCUUGUACACACCGCCCGUCACACCACGGGAGUUGGGAGUACCCGAAGUAGGUUGCCUAACCGCAAGGAGGGCGCUUCCUAAGGUAAGACCGAUGACUGGGGUGAAGUCGUAACAAGGUACCCGU
RNAcentral lists this ribosomal RNA (1510 nucleotides) under Lactococcus lactis. RNAcentral describes it as "bacterial SSU rRNA". It matches the Rfam family "Bacterial small subunit ribosomal RNA". Lineage: Bacteria; Bacillati; Bacillota; Bacilli; Lactobacillales; Streptococcaceae. The record is from RNAcentral.